AUGAGUUAUGUCAUGUUAUCGAUAUGUGAAUACAUAGCAUAUCAGAAGGCACACCCGGAGAACUGAAACAUCUUAGUACCCGGAGGAAGAGAAAGAAAAUUCGAUUCCCUUAGUAGCGGCGAGCGAAACGGGAAGAGCCCAAACCAACAAGCUUGCUUGUUGGGGUUGUAGGACACUCUAUACGGAGUUACAAAGGACGACAUUAGACGAAUCAUCUGGAAAGAUGAAUCAAAGAAGGUAAUAAUCCUGUAGUCGAAAAUGUUGUCUCUCUUGAGUGGAUCCUGAGUACGACGGAGCACGUGAAAUUCCGUCGGAAUCUGGGAGGACCAUCUCCUAAGGCUAAAUACUCUCUAGUGACCGAUAGUGAACCAGUACCGUGAGGGAAAGGUGAAAAGCACCCCGGAAGGGGAGUGAAAUAGAACCUGAAACCGUGUGCUUACAAGUAGUCAGAGCCCGUUAAUGGGUGAUGGCGUGCCUUUUGUAGAAUGAACCGGCGAGUUACGAUUUGAUGCAAGGUUAAGCAGUAAAUGUGGAGCCGUAGCGAAAGCGAGUCUGAAUAGGGCGUUUAGUAUUUGGUCGUAGACCCGAAACCAGGUGAUCUACCCUUGGUCAGGUUGAAGUUCAGGUAACACUGAAUGGAGGACCGAACCGACUUACGUUGAAAAGUGAGCGGAUGAACUGAGGGUAGCGGAGAAAUUCCAAUCGAACCUGGAGAUAGCUGGUUCUCUCCGAAAUAGCUUUAGGGCUAGCCUCAAGUGAUGAUUAUUGGAGGUAGAGCACUGUUUGGACGAGGGGCCCCUCUCGGGUUACCGAAUUCAGACAAACUCCGAAUGCCAAUUAAUUUAACUUGGGAGUCAGAACAUGGGUGAUAAGGUCCGUGUUCGAAAGGGAAACAGCCCAGACCACCAGCUAAGGUCCCAAAAUAUAUGUUAAGUGGAAAAGGAUGUGG
This 949-nucleotide ribosomal RNA is filed under the name Staphylococcus aureus. Its description in RNAcentral is "partial 23S ribosomal RNA". It matches the Rfam family "Bacterial large subunit ribosomal RNA", at positions 133 to 1078 of the family's 2925-position model. The record is from RNAcentral. Lineage: Bacteria; Bacillati; Bacillota; Bacilli; Caryophanales; Staphylococcaceae.